RNAcentral lists this ribosomal RNA (253 nucleotides) under uncultured bacterium. RNAcentral's name for it is "partial 16S ribosomal RNA". It matches the Rfam family "Bacterial small subunit ribosomal RNA", at positions 524 to 776 of the family's 1533-position model. The record is from RNAcentral.
UACGAAGGGGGCUAGCGUUGCUCGGAAUCACUGGGCGUAAAGCGCACGUGGGCGGAUCUUUAAGUCAGGGGUGAAAUCCUGGAGCUCAACUCCAGAACUGCCUUUGAUACUGGGGAUCUCGAGUCCGGGAGAGGUGAGUGGAACUGCGAGUGUAGAGGUGAAAUGCGUUGAUAUUAUGGGGAACACCAAAAGCGAAGGCAGCAGACUGGGGCACUCGUGACACUGAAACAUGAAAGCGUGGGUAGCGAAUGGG